CCAGAAAGAUGCGUCCUCAGGGCUAGGAAUGUCCUGGUAUCUGGUCCUGGUCUCAGCUGUCACUGCUGGCUCUGUGCUUCUCCUGAGUCUGCUCAUCCUCUUCACCUGGGUCAUCCCCAGGUUAAAGGCAUGGCGUGCAACGAUUAGACCAACACAGGGCAAGACUAGCGAUGUCUAUGAAGACAUGCGCACCACCAUCAGACGUGCACACCCCCCUCAGAUGGGUUAUUAGUGAUGUUGCACGGCAGCCAUCUUUACUUUGGGCACCAACCUAAGACAGGUUGUUACAGAUGUUGCAUGGCAGUCAUCUUUACUUUGGGCACGACCUUCAGACAGCUUGUUACUGAUGAUGCACGGCAGCCAUCUUUAAUUUGGGUCCAAAUGGAAGCUCAUGUCAGCUGACUAGGAGACAAUUAUGUCAACAUACUGUAAUACAUGAUGUCAACGAAGGACUUUGAAAGAUAUAUUCUCAAGUUGUGUUAGGUAGCAAGGGCUUGCAUCAAUGAUGUGCACUUAUGUCAGUCAUUCAACCUCAAGGUAAGCUACCUAUAUACUGUAGCUACUUAAGUAAGUACACAGCAUUGUAUGUGACUGACAUCACACACUGUAAAUGGUUGUUCAUACAGAGGUUUUUUAUGGUCCUUGACCCUGACGCAGCAGCUAGAAUUUGAGUCUUGUAAUUACAACCACAAUUUAACUUGAAAAUAGCACUGAUUGCUGUGUAUGGAAUUUCAAUGUCUUUAGCUGUACAUUCUAUUUUUCUUUAUAGAUUGACAAUAUCUUUUUUAACAACUUUUAAAUGUUGAAUUGAUUCUCUAUUGUAUAUAUGUUUUUACAUAUUUGAUGGCAUUGGGCCUAUGCCUAUUUUUCAGGCGCCAGGCAACUUUUACUGCUAUUUUAUUGUAAUACUUUUGCAUUCUUUAGUUCCUGUACUGAUCAUGUUGUUCCUGUAAAGAUAGUCUAUUUUUUUAUAAUAAAUUAGUCAUAAUACUAACA
Molecule: long non-coding RNA, 996 nt
Organism: Salvelinus fontinalis (brook trout)
Lineage: Eukaryota; Metazoa; Chordata; Actinopteri; Salmoniformes; Salmonidae
Exons: 2
Source: RefSeq, a predicted model, not a curated record